AGGAUUAUAAUUUAAAUUAAAAUAUUUGAUUUGCAUUCAAAAAAUAUUGUUAUAUACAAUUUAUCUUG
RNAcentral lists this transfer RNA (68 nucleotides) under Dierna strigata. RNAcentral describes it as "tRNA-Ala". It matches the Rfam family "tRNA". Rfam says of the family: Transfer RNA (tRNA) molecules are approximately 80 nucleotides in length. Their secondary structure includes four short double-helical elements and three loops (D, anti-codon, and T loops). The record is from RNAcentral. Lineage: Eukaryota; Metazoa; Arthropoda; Insecta; Lepidoptera; Erebidae.